GGGGCAACCCCUGAAAGUGGCGCACGGGUGCGUAACACGUAGAUAACCUGCCCUUUGAAGGGGGAUAACGUUCCGAAAGGAGCGCUAAUACCGCAUAACGCCGGAGCUGGUUUGCCAGCAUCGGACAAAGGUAGGGAUCCAGCAAUGGACCUAUCGUCAGAGGAGGGGUCUGCGGCCCAUCAGCUAGUUGGUGAGGUAAUGGCUCACCAAGGCAAAGACGGGUAGCUGGUCUGAGAGGAUGAUCAGCCACACUGGUACUGGAACACGGACCAGACUCCUACGGGAGGCAGCAGUGGGGAAUCUUGGUCAAUGGGCGAAAGCCUGAACCAGCGAUGCCGCGUGAGUGAUGAAGGCCUUCGGGUUGUAAAGCUCUGUGGGGCGGGACGAAAGACUGAGGUCUAAUAGGCUUCAGGUUGACGGUACCGCCUUAGCAAGCACCGGCUAACUCUGUGCCAGCAGCCGCGGUAAGACAGAGGGUGCAAACGUUGCUCGGAAUCACUGGGCGUAAAGGGCGUGUAGGCGGGAAGGUAAGUCGGGCGUGAAAUCCCUGGGCUCAACCCAGGAACUGCACUCGAAACUACUUUUCUUGAGUGCCGGAGAGGAAAGCGGAAUUCCUGGUGUAGAGGUGAAAUUCGUAGAUAUCAGGAGGAACACCAGUGGCGAA
Molecule: ribosomal RNA, 664 nt
Filed under: uncultured Pseudomonadota bacterium
Lineage: Bacteria; Pseudomonadati; Pseudomonadota
Description: bacterial SSU rRNA
Rfam family: Bacterial small subunit ribosomal RNA
Source: RNAcentral